AUUGAACGCUGGCGGCAGGCCUAACACAUGCAAGUCGAACGGUAACAGGAAGCAGCUUGUUGCUUCGCUGACGAGUGGCGGACGGGUGAGUAAUGUCUGGGAAGCUGCUUGAUGGAGGGGGUUAACUACUGGAACCGGUAGCUAGUACCGCAUAAUGUUGCAAGACCAAAGAGGGGGACCUUCGGGCCUCUUGCCAUCGGCUGUGCCCAGAUGGGAUUAGCUUGUUGGUGGGGUAACGGCUCACCAAGGCGACGAUCCCUAGCUGGUCUGAGAGGGUGACCGGCCACACUGGAACUGAGACACGGUCCAGACUCCUACGGGAGGCAGCAGUGGGGAAUAUUGCACAAUGGGCGCAAGCCUGAUGCAGCCAUGCCGCGUGUAUGAAGAAGGCCUUCGGGUUGUAAAGUACUUUCAGCGGGGAAGAAGGGAGUAAAAUGAAUACCUUUGCGCAUUGACGUUACCCGCAGAAGAAGCACCGGCUAACUCCGUG
This 490-nucleotide ribosomal RNA is filed under the name uncultured bacterium. RNAcentral's name for it is "partial 16S ribosomal RNA". It matches the Rfam family "Bacterial small subunit ribosomal RNA", at positions 30 to 507 of the family's 1533-position model. The record is from RNAcentral.